Molecule: ribosomal RNA, 255 nt
Filed under: uncultured bacterium
Lineage: Bacteria
Description: partial 16S ribosomal RNA
Rfam family: Bacterial small subunit ribosomal RNA
Source: RNAcentral
CGGAGGGGCGUAGCGUUGUUCGGAAUUACUGGGCGUAAAGCGCACGUAGGCGGACUGGAAAGUUGGGGGUGAAAGUCCCGGGGCUCAACCUCGGAACUGCCUUCAAAACUAUCAGUCUGGAGUUCGAGAGAGGUGAGUGGAAUUCCGAGUGUAGAGGUGAAAUUCGUAGAUAUUCGGAGGAACACCAGUGGCGAAGGCGGCUCACUGGCUCGAUACUGACGCUGAGGUGCGAAAGCGUGGGGAGCAAACAGGAUU